CACUCAACGAAGCAAUCGACCCUUCUGGAAAAAAGUGGAAUCGAAGUGGCAGCAACAGCGGCUGUCGCUCUGCACGCCACCGGCGCCCUCCGCUCCCGACUCCUCUCUACCACGGCAGCCUCGCCGCACACCGCCACACCCAUACCCACCUCCACCUUCCUUCCUCCCCCUACCCCGUCUUCUACGAUGCCGACAUCGUCAAGUACACCGCCGGCGCCAUCCGUCCGCCAAGUCUGCAAUGCAUCUCCUGCCUACUCCUCCGGUGCAGCAGACUCGACGCCCAACACAUCUCCCUUCUCACCGCCGUCUCCUGCUCCCCCUCCCCCUUCUCCUUCGACACCGACGUUGGCAAGUACGCCGCCGGUGCCGUCCGUCCCCGGAGUCCGCGAGGACUCUCCUGCUUCCCCAUCCGAGGCUCUGAUGCAGCAGUCCCGCCGCCCACCACCUCCCCUGUCCUCGCUGACCUCCACGUACGCUGCUACACACUACGCAUCCUCGGCGACAGCGCCGCCACCUACUACUCCCUCCCGGCAGACGCGCUCUAUGGCCAUCCCCUUCGAGUAUGCGCUGCUCCCCUAGGACCUCUAUGCCGUCUGCAAUUGGUCUCUCCUCCCACAUGAGUCAUCUGUUUCAUUACUUGCGCACCUGCUGCUAUCACCAUCCCGAUUGGAAGCCCUCAGCCUGGCAAGAGAUUUUUGUGAAUUGAAGUACUCGACCAUGUUUGGGUUCAAAUAGCAGUAUCCAAUCUACUACAUGGUGUAUCAAUAUCAGGUUCGUAAUUUCUGCAUGUUUCCUGUCUAGGCCUUUGAAUUGUAACUAAGAUCUCCAUUGAUGAGUCAUAGGACAAGGUAAGAUACAGAACCAGCCGGCACACAAAGGCCGGCUUGAUCUAUUUCAGUUUUGUAGUGUACAUCCGUUACAGCUUACAAGUGCACCUAAGACAACAAAAUAAGCACCAAGUGAUUUUGACAUUAACUCCGGGUCAAAAUCUGGGCUUGCAAUGCUUCAGUUCUUGGGGUUCUCACAGUUCUAGAUUAUUUUUCUUGAGCACUUGGCGGAACUGAACCUUCUAGAUCACCAUCCGUGCUUCCACGAACUUCUCCUUCAGGAUGUGCUUCAAGGAGGCCCGGGGUACUCCAUGCAGCCCCUGAAACCCCAAUUGAAUUGGAUGUUCGUGGAGUUGGUAUGGUCUAAUCGGCAAAACAUUGCUGCCAGGUAUUUCAUCUGGUGUGCUUUUGGUGAUUUUUGGAGCAGAAAACGAGAUGCAAGUUUGAUUCAGAAUCACAUGCUCUGUUUCUUUCACAGUUCCCUACAUGUGUAGUACUGCACUGCGAUGUUUCUCCAUUGCAUAGAGUGCAGUUAGCCAGGUACUGAUUAUAAAAAAAUCAUUGGUACGUAUCCAUGCAGUUUGUUUAAUUUGGCCAAGACAAUCACACGUUUUUGAGCAUAUUCUUCAUAGAGCCAUGCCCAUAGUUUUGAUGAUGAAUAUUACAAGCUACAGAUUUAAGUCUAUUUCCAACACAAAGUGUGACAUCAUGUUUUAUCUGCUCAAAUUAUGUUUCGAUUAUGCAUGAAUCUAUGUUGAUAAUUAACCUAUGAUGCCUACUUUCAGUUACCAAUUAAACAUAUUGGGUUACAUUUGCUUCUUUUUAUUAAGCAGGAAAUGUAAGAGAGAUCAGACUAAAAAUUCCUGCUUCCUCUUGCUAUUAUAUAUCUUUGUAAUUUGUAAACACUAUUAUGCUUGCUGCUCUGCCAUGAGCAGUUAUAGUUUCUGGUUGCUCCUUUGGUGACACAAUAGCUUUAAUUCGUUGCUUGGCACCCUCAUGCUAGAUUACAUGCAGGCAUGUGCGCUGUCAGGAAACUGUGCGGACAGUGGGUCAACAUGUCCAUGGUCAUUACCUAGCUCGUGCUGCACCGAUGCUGCUGGUCGUUGUUGUUGAUGACCUCCAGCAUAGUUAUGUUCAUGUUACAGGAGAAGGUUGAGUUCUGCAAGAGAGACUGGACAUGUGCAUACUACUUGGUGAGUGCAGGUCAACUGGGACUCAUGGGACUUCCAGCGUGGAUGGAACGAGACGCUCAUGUCCCCGCCUUUCCAAAUGGCCCUAAGAUACAUGUGUUGUCGAACAUGAGACUCCCUAAGGUGUGGAGCUAGAAGAGGUGGCGUUUCCAAAGGCAGUGCCAGCUAAUGCAUGGAUGGCCAACGAAGCUAAUGCAUGGAUUUUUUUUCCUCACAAAAAUAAAGAUGUCAAGGCACAACUUGCUGGGGGAACCAAGCAUGUUGACCAUUGCAAUUUGAACGCAUAUAUUAUCGAAAAUGGGAUGAUUUGUGUAGUUUUAUAGCAAUACAAAUGCGCUUUUGGAUGUAAAUUUUGCGGCAACACGCUUUGGGAUUAAAUGGAUGGGUGAAUGAAGAGAGGGAAAAAAACGUAUGUCCUAAGUAGAAUGAUUAUCUAGAGAAAUGUCUUCAUAUAUUCCAUUGUUGUCCCGUUGCAUCGCACGGGCAUCUUA
Triticum aestivum (bread wheat) is the source of this 2508-nucleotide long non-coding RNA. RefSeq lists it as uncharacterized. The record is from RefSeq and is a predicted model, not a curated record. The transcript has 2 exons. Lineage: Eukaryota; Viridiplantae; Streptophyta; Magnoliopsida; Poales; Poaceae.